Molecule: ribosomal RNA, 154 nt
Filed under: uncultured bacterium
Lineage: Bacteria
Description: partial 16S ribosomal RNA
Rfam family: Bacterial small subunit ribosomal RNA
Source: RNAcentral
UGGGGAAUAUUGCACAAUGGGCGCAAGCCUGAUGCAGCGACGCCGCGUGCUGGAUGGAGGCCUUCGGGUUGUAAACCGCUUUUGUUCAAGGGCAAGGCAGGCUUUCGGGCCUGUUGAGUGGAUUGUUCGAAUAAGCACCGGCUAACUACGUGCC